CCUACGGGAGGCAGCAGCGAGGAAUCUUGGGCAAUGGGCGAAAGCCUGAUCCAGCAAUGCCGCGUGAGUGAUGAAGGCCUUAGGGUUGUAAAGCUCUUUCGGCGGGGAAGAUGAUGACGGUACCCGCAGAAGAAGCCCCGGCUAACUUCGUGCCAGCAGCCGCGGUAAU
RNAcentral lists this ribosomal RNA (169 nucleotides) under uncultured bacterium. RNAcentral describes it as "partial 16S ribosomal RNA". It matches the Rfam family "Bacterial small subunit ribosomal RNA", at positions 338 to 524 of the family's 1533-position model. The record is from RNAcentral.